RNAcentral lists this unclassified non-coding RNA (253 nucleotides) under uncultured Acidobacteriota bacterium. RNAcentral describes it as "uncultured Acidobacteria bacterium contains 16S-23S intergenic spacer region". It matches the Rfam family "Bacterial small subunit ribosomal RNA", at positions 524 to 776 of the family's 1533-position model. The record is from RNAcentral. Lineage: Bacteria; Pseudomonadati; Acidobacteriota.
CACGGAGGGGGCAAGCGUUAUUCGGAAUUACUGGGCGUAAAGGGCGCGUAGGCGGCCCGGCAAGUCAAAGGUGAAAGCCCUCGGCUCAACCGAGGAACAGCCUUUGAAACUGCAGGGCUUGAGGCCGGGAGGGGGUGGCGGAAUUCCUGGUGUAGCGGUGAAAUGCGUAGAUAUCAGGAGGAACACCGGUGGCGAAGGCGGCCACCUGGACCGGUUCUGACGCUGAGGCGCGAAAGCGUGGGGAGCAAACAGG